Molecule: long non-coding RNA, 378 nt
Filed under: Marmota monax (woodchuck)
Lineage: Eukaryota; Metazoa; Chordata; Mammalia; Rodentia; Sciuridae
Source: RNAcentral
CUCUCUAGGCAGGAUCUCCGAGGAGAUGUCAUGUUUUUCUCCAGUGCCGGGGUUCAUGUUGUCAGGAUGAGGCACUGCAUGCCUCAGCGUCCCGUGAGGACCUUCUAGAACACACAUCUCUGGGCUCCACCUGCAAGGUUUUCAUUUCAGAGCUUCUAUAGUGGGAUCCAAAGAUCUGCAUUUCAAGCAAGUUACCAGGUGACGUCAGUGAUGCUGGUUUGGGUGUCACAUGGGCCAAGCGUCUUUUGCAGCUAAUUGGCAAGGUCUCUGCCAUCCACAAGUUCUUUUGGCAUCACCAGGAGAGACUCUCGUUUUCUGACUAUAAAAUGCACCAAAGUUACUUUAGAGAAAUGCUUUUGCCAUCAGUGCUUUUAAAAU